ACGGCCACCCUCUGAGCUCUCCGCAGCAGGAGGAAAACGUCAGAGAGCCCUUAAGGCCCUGUUUCCUCACCAGAAGGAAGGUGGCUGACACAGCCAUGAUCACCCCCAAUCUGGAGGCUCAGACUAGAGUGGCCCCAAACCCCUGGGGACAAGGCUAGAAAGUGGACGUGGCCACACAGACAGCUCACAGAAGCUGAAUCUACCAAGGACAUGCAUGGCACACGGGCGUGUACACACACACGUCUGACUCACACCUCAUCCUCCCUUUCGCUUCAGCUGGGGAAGGAGGUGGAAAGGUGACGUUCAAGACUGGAGGGUAAUUUGCCCAAGAAUGCAGCGAGCAAACAUCUUAAAACACCAUGGAGAGCCUCUGAAAA
Molecule: non-coding RNA, 377 nt
Filed under: Pongo abelii (Sumatran orangutan)
Lineage: Eukaryota; Metazoa; Chordata; Mammalia; Primates; Hominidae
Source: RNAcentral